CCCUAUUAUUUUAGAAUGUUAAUUUUUUGUGCCUGAGUAGUAUUAGUUAUGUUCUUGAAACUUAAAGAAUUUGGCGGUAUCUCAUUCCGUCCAGAGGAAUCUGUCCCGUUAUCGAUAGUCCACGUUGGACCUUACUUAUUUGAUUUUGGUUUGUAUACCGCCGUUUAUUGAUUAUCUUUUUAGGGGUUAUAUUAAUUUUCUGGUAUCUUUAUUUUGAUGUAUUUCAGGUCAAGGUGCAGCUUGUUUUUAAGUGGAAUGAUGGAUUACAUUGUUAUUUGUUUGUGGAUUGUUGGUUUUAAUAUUGGCAUGAAAUUGGAUUUGGUUGUAAUGAUUUGUAGAUUGUUAUUAUGAUAACUGGUUCUGAGAUAUGUACACAUCGCCCGUCGCUCUCGUUUGUUUAUUAUAAUGAGAUAAGUC
This 417-nucleotide ribosomal RNA is filed under the name Nasutitermes sp. ECU5. RNAcentral's name for it is "partial 12S ribosomal RNA". The record is from RNAcentral. Lineage: Eukaryota; Metazoa; Arthropoda; Insecta; Blattodea; Termitidae.